UACGUAGGGUGCGAGCGUUGUCCGGAAUUACUGGGCGGAAAGGGCUCGUAGGCGGUUUGUCGCGUCGGGAGUGAAAACACGGGGCUUAACCCCGUGCCUGCUUCCGAUACGGGCAGACUAGAGGUAUGCAGGGGAGAACGGAAUUCCUGGUGUAGCGGUGAAAUGCGCAGAUAUCAGGAGGAACACCGGUGGCGAAGGCGGUUCUCUGGGAAUAUCCUGACGCUGAGGAGCGAAAGUGUGGGGAGCGAACAGG
Molecule: ribosomal RNA, 253 nt
Filed under: uncultured bacterium
Lineage: Bacteria
Description: partial 16S ribosomal RNA
Rfam family: Bacterial small subunit ribosomal RNA
Source: RNAcentral